AGACGUCGGCGGGGGCCU
Molecule: small nuclear RNA, 18 nt
Filed under: Arabidopsis thaliana (thale cress)
Lineage: Eukaryota; Viridiplantae; Streptophyta; Magnoliopsida; Brassicales; Brassicaceae
Description: snRNA_18887
Source: RNAcentral